RNAcentral lists this small RNA (131 nucleotides) under Enterobacter asburiae. Its description in RNAcentral is "RtT sRNA". It matches the Rfam family "RtT RNA". From Rfam's summary of the family: This family represents a bacterial cis-regulatory element known as RtT RNA. The exact function of RtT is unknown although it is thought that it may be involved in changing the cellular response in relation to amino acid starvation. The record is from RNAcentral. Lineage: Bacteria; Pseudomonadati; Pseudomonadota; Gammaproteobacteria; Enterobacterales; Enterobacteriaceae. RNAcentral also lists the same sequence under 3 other names.
UGUAUUUCCGCAAGGGGAAGGAUGAGAAGCUUCGACUAAGGUUCGAUUCGAGCGCAGCGAGAAAGCGUUGCCGCAGGCAACGACCCGAAGGGCGAGGCGCAACGCGCCGAGUAAUCCUUCCCCUACCACCA